This is a long non-coding RNA of Felis catus (domestic cat), 8546 nucleotides long. RefSeq lists it as uncharacterized. NCBI's taxonomy places the organism in Eukaryota, Metazoa, Chordata, Mammalia, Carnivora, Felidae. The record is from RefSeq and is a predicted model, not a curated record. The transcript is spliced from 4 exons.
ACCCCGGUCCCCUGCUUGCUUUCUCUCUCUCUCUCUUUCUCAAAAUAAGUAAACAUUAAAAAAAUACCAGGGUAUGGCCCUCGUCCUUGCCCACCUCCUCACUCACACCAGCCUCUCGGCUCUUGGCGCUCUGACACUUAUCCCCGUGCCUCCCCUGCAGUGACUUGUGGCCUCCACGUUGUCCAGCACAUUUCUCAGCUCUUCACCUCACGUCCUUAGCACAUCUCUUCUCUGGGCCACCACCUUCUGGCUGCUCCUUUUCUAUUUCUUGGCAUCUCUUCCUUUGCUCCAAGUCCUAAAUACUGGCAUGCCCGAGUGUUCCAAACCAGGCCUACCACAUUCCCUGCACCGCUCCGUCCCCCCUGGGAAAUGUCAGCCACUGUAACCUUGGGGGGGAUGGCCAAGCCUCCACUCCAGCUCUGGCUUCUCUCCAGAAAGGCAUAGCCGACUGCCCGCUGGUGUCCUGGUGAGGACGUUUGCCCCACAGACUGAGGGCAUCCCCGGCGGAGUUCCUCAUGAGCUCUCCUCUCGGGCUGCCCCCUCACCAGGAGGUGAAAUUAGAGCGUCUUCGAGACUUCUCUGUCCUCUUCAUUCUCUAUUCCUCUGGCCCCACACUGGGCCCCAAGUCCUGUUGAUUCUACUUUGUGCCCAUCCCGGGUGGCCCCUUGUCCUCAGCGUCCCCCCACCACUGCCCCGCUUCAGGCCACCGUAUUCUCUGGCCCAUCUCCAGCCUUCGCCUCUUCUCCCCACUGCACGCAGAGUGAUCUUUCCCAAAUGCAAAUGUGAUCUGGUUAUAUCCCUUCCGUGGCUCCCUGUGGCUCUCCCAGUGAAACUCACUUCAAUCAAGCCCAUCAUGAUGUGGCCCCUGGCAGCUUCUCCAUCUCAGUCUCUCAUUGGGGAAUCUGGGAUCAGUUCACUACCCUCUCUUGCCAAUCUCCCACACUCGAUAUCCACAUGAACUAUGUGUAGACCCCCAUCACUCGAGGCUUUCCUGCCUCCAUGCCCUUGUAGAGCUGUUCCUUCUGUCUUCAACACCCUUCCUCUCUGGGCUUCCAGGUAGAUUACUAUUCAUACCCAAGCGCCUUUUCCCUUUGAUCCCCCGGAAGACACAGGUACCUCCUCUCUCACAGUCUCGCUGGAACCUCUGCAGGCAUCAAUGAAAGGUGUGGAGAGUCCCACAGAGUCUUGGACUAGAACUGGGGCUCCAGCUUCCUGGAUGAGUUCAGGAAUCAUCCCUCUUGGAGCCAGACGGUCCCUGGUCACAGCUUUAUGACCUUGGGCGAGUCUCUUCACCUUUCCAAACCUGUUUCCCCACUUGCAGCUGGAGGAUGGUAAUUGCCACAGACCCGCACGGAUUCCAAUAAGAGGCUGUGGAGGACCAUCCACGCUGGCCUGGUGGGUUCCAGGACUCUCAAAGGAGCACAGUGAGGCCACCUUCUCCACCCUCACGCCUACCCUGCUGGCUCUACCCACCCCGCCCAGCCUCUGCUCUGCGCCGCGCUGUCUCCUGCCCCUCUGGGUGGUCAGAUGCUAACACCUGCUGUGCCAAGAGCUGCUCUCCAUCUGCCUGUGUUCUGAGGUCCAGCCCCUCUGCUGUGCUGCGUUGCCCAAGCUGCCCACACGCAGACAGUGGCAUUUCUGCAACCACCCACUGUCACCCACGGCACCCACCUGCUCCUCUGUGCACGAAGUUAAAGAUCAACGUGGAACCUCCGCCCCCACCUGGUCGUUCCACAGCCUCCCCAUCUCUACGAAGGGGAUUCCCUCUUGCUUCCUGCUCAGGCCAAAGAGCUGUCUUCUUUCCCUCAGUCCUUCAGAAACCUUCUCAGCUCUCCCUUGCAAGUAUAUCCUGACCCUGAGCACUUCACUUGUAUCUGGUCGAGGGCACCAUCACCUUUGGCUCAAAUGACGGCAAUGGCCUUCUAAGUCACCUCCCUGCUUGUAACUUCUUUGAAAUGCGCCCCCCGCCCCGACCCCUGCCCAGUCCUCCUCACUUCCUUCCCUGUUCUGUUUUUCCUGGAGCACUCAGCACCAUCUAACCUGUGGUAUUCUUUGCUUAUUAAUUUUGGUUAGUGCCCGUCCCUGCCUUACUAGAACACGAGUGCCGCGAGGACAGGGAUAUGGGCCUGUGUUGCUCUCUGCCGUAGCUCUGGAACAGUGCCUGCUGCAUUGCAGGGCUGGGGAAAUGCUUCCCGAAGGCCUGCAUCCCGCUGCACGCACAGCUUGGGCGCAAGCUGUGUUUGCGGCACAAAUGAAACCCCUGACCCACAUUGGAUUCACUGGCUAAGAUUUAGGUCCUCACCUGCUCCAUGCACUGGGCUCAUUUCCUGCAUCAUCGUCAUGGUUACCAAAAGUCCAGAGUGGCCCUAGAUGUGGGUGGUGCAGUAAAGGGCUCGACCAGGGGCACCUGGGUGGCUCAGUCGGUUAAGUGUCUGACCUUGGCUCGAGUCAUGAUCUCACGCUUUGUGAAUUCCAGCUCUGCGUUGGGCUCUCUACUGUCAGCACAGAACCCGCGUCGGAUCCUCUGUCCCACUCUUUCUCUGCCCCUCCCCUCCCCCACUCGUGCGUGAACGCUGUCUCUCUCUUUCAAAAAUCAAUAAACAUUAAAAAAAAAAGGGGGGGCAUGACUAGUGCCACAGGGACACAGAUGGGGAGAGGUUGGGAUCACGUGGCGGCUAGGGACGCAAGGGACAGUACUGGGCAUACCCCUGAAUAGAGGGCAUAAUUCUCAACUGGACAGAGUCAGGGACACAGUAGACCAUGGUGGGGGACAGCAAGACAGGACGAGAGACAUAGUGGGGGCAGCCCUAGGGGACACAGUGGUGUUGACAGGGCUCUGGGGAGCCCUGUCUAGAGCUGCCCCUGGGCCUCCCGUCCCCUCCCCUCCUCAGGACUCUCAGAAUUCCCCACCCACCCACCCCUGCCUCACCCCGUCCAGGCGCUGCUCUGUGCUCUGCCGCUGCCACCGUCCGACGCGCCUUUGAAAUCUUAUCUCUCAUCUUGUUCUCUGUUUCCUCCCUGUCCAGGCCUCAUCUGUCUCCUGCCUCCCACCCACCCCCCACCUGCUUCCCAUCUGUGGCCCCUCCCCCUCUCCCUGCCCGCUGGCCACUGCCUCGUCCUGUCCUGUCCUGUCAGCCUGGCUGCGGCUCCAGCCCUUCCCUGCCUCUCCAGGGGAAGAUUUCAGAGCUGUGGGUGAGGACCCUGCCUGCUCCCUCCUGCAAGCCCUGAGCCCCCCUCCCCAGCCCCCUUCCUUGGUCCUCCUUCCCUCCACUGGCUCUGCCCCAGCCCUCGACCCCUCAAGGCUCCCCGGUGAACAGCUUGAGCUCCCCGAGGGCCGGAUCCCAGGGCCCCUUCUCCAGGUCUUCUGACCCUCUCAGAAAAGGCCGCCCUUCUCCUCCUUGAACUUGCCCAGCCCAGCCUUUGCCUGUAUCAUGCGAGUCACGGAUGCCUGCCGUUCUCUCUUCAGUCUGUGACCUCCUCUAGGGCAGGGAGAAUUCCACCUGCAGUGCCCCAGGUGCCCCGACUGUGUCCAGCUCCCUGCCCCUCACCAAAACCAGGAGUCUGUGGCUCUGCCCCUGUCCCAGGGGCCCCAGCUGCCUCCAGGAGCCUCUGUCCUAUGGAAUCAAACUCAGAGUGUAGACCCACCCAGCCUGCUUGGAUUAAGAUCCCAGCCCUACCACUUAGUAGCUGAGUGAUUGCAGGCAGGUUCCUUCUCUCUGGGUGUCAGUGCUGUACCUGUAAAUUGCCAAGGAGGGUGAUGAGGGUGCCUCUCUUGGGGUUGUUGUGAGAAUUAUAUGAGUUAAUGUCUGUAAGAACCAGCAGCAGGACCCAGCACACAGUAAGUGCUCAAUAAAUAGCCCUCCUUGCUCCUAGGUGCCACAGUGGCAGCAAAACUAUAGUAGCAAAUCACGUACUUGAACAUGAGGAUAAUGUCACUGGAUGUCAGUGGUGGUAACUGUUAUCAGCCUUUUCAGUUGCCGUGAUCCCAUCCCUCCUGAAUGCUUUAUGGACUCAAUCUCUUUGGAGUCCUCUCAACACACUUGGAGGUAUGGGCUCCUGCUCCCGUCUUCCAGAUGAGCAGCCAAGACAGAGGGCAGAGAAGCCACCCAAGUCCCACCUCAAGUCUGCAGGAGAUUGUCCUCCUCUGAAGUGUAUCACUGGCUGACACCUCAAUGACUGCACAGCACAGGCCUGCCUGGGUGGGCAGUGAGCUCCCGGGCAUGAGCCUGCCGCUGCCUCGAACCUUCCAUGGCUCUCGCUGUCCGUGGGGAUCGGCCAGGUGCCUUAGUCAAAGGACAGCUCUGAAGCCCCUUCCUGGCUGUGGGACCCUGAGCAAGUGCGUAUCUACUCUGAGCCUCAGUUUCCUCACCUGGAACACGUGGAAAAUAUUCUUACCUUACAGGUUUGCCCAGAACCGAGGGAUUUCCUGGGAUGCAGGACUUUGCGUGCUAGAAUCCGGAAAGGUCCAGACACACCAGGAUGAGCCGGUCACUUAGGGGGUUGUCGUGAGGAUGAAAAGUGCCUCACAUGCUGCUCGUAAAGGAGCACGGAGACCUGGGGCCUGGGCGGCUCGGUCGGUUAAGCGUCCGACUUUGGCUCAGGUCCUGAUCUCCCUCAUGGUCUGUGAGUUCGAGCUCCGUGUCGGGCUCUGUGCUGACAGCCUGGAGCCUGCUUCUGAUUCUGUGUCUCCCUGUCUCUCUGCCCCUCCCCUGCUUGCACUCUCUUUAAAAAAUGAAUAAAUGUUAAAAAAAAAUUGAAAAAAGGAAAGAAGCACGGAUAGCUGGGGCCUGUGUGCACUGUACUUCACGGUUUGUGUCACCUUUAACUCUGUACUUCACAAGCUUCCCAGUGAUCCUGCUCAUUCCCCGCCCCCCCCCCCCCCCCACUUUAGAGAUAAGAAAACUUGAGGCCGGAGAGAAGAGGCAGCAUAUCCAGGGUCGGACGGGGUGGCUUAGAGUUAAUGACCAGGUUGCAUGGAUACAGCAAGUCACCCCUGCAUCUGGAGGGUGGCACUGUGUGGGGGAGAGUCCUACUCAACAGGUGGUGUUUCCCUGAGUCGUGGAGGUGGGAGCCCAGCCAGCCGUGGGGGAGGUCCUUCCUUCUUCUCCUGCCGUCUCACCUCAGGGUGGUGAAGCCCCAAGGGUAGUGCAGGUGACCUACUCUGGAGGAGGGCCAGAAACUCAGCCUCCCGCUGACAGCCUUGUCCCCAGACUCUCACCCAAGCCCCUGUGCUGCCACUGUCCUGCGUGUCCUUGGGCUGUAAGUGGUGAAUCAUCACAGUACCUACAGAGCAGGGGGUGUUGUUGGUUUUUUUAAAGGAAUUCACUGAAGUAAUUUACCAAAGAGCUUAGCAGAGUUCCUUAGUAGGUGCAUAACAAGUGUUAACUGACAAUCGGAUUAUAAUGGAUAAGAAUAACGCAAUUCACAAAAUGUUUUCCCCUCCAGGAUCGCACUGAAUGCACCCAACAGCACUGAUUUGAGACGUGGCUGUGAUUCUCCCCAUAUUCCAGAUGAGGAAAUUGAGUCUUGGGUCAGGGGAGGAAGUUGCCCAGAGCUGCUCAGGAAGUGGGGGCGGGGCUGAGGAGCCAGGCCGAUGGGACCAGAGAAGCCGCAGAGCUCUACCCCGUGUCCCACCCCAUGUCCCUCUGCCUGACUGCCUCCCAGCCUGUCACCCUCCUGACCCUGCCCCAGAAUGGACUUUGCCCUUCUGGCUCCACUGAGGGCCCACUGGCUCUAUUCCCCGCCUUUUGCCUUUUUGUUUUCUUCUUUUCAUUGUGCUUAUCACCAGCGGAAAUCAAACUGUUGGUUUUCUUGCUUAUUAUCCAUUUCUCCCACAAAAAUUGCAGUUCCAAGAGGGCAGGGACUUUGUUUUUUUUUUUCACCGUGAGGUCCCUAGUGCCUGCACAGAGCCUGCCCUCUGUAAACUGUCAAAUGAUUUGAUUAUCUUCUUAUUAGAACAAAUGAAAAUCGGUGUCCAGCAAUGCCACUUGUGGUGCAGUGCCUGAUUCAUGCCAGCAGAUGGCAGCAGAGAACAAGGUACCUGAUGGGUGGAGCCCAGGUGAAGUUCAUAGGUUUGACUUAGAGAGAGAGAGAGAGAGAGAGAGAGAGUGUGUUUUGCAUGUACCAUCUUCUGCCUCCUCCCUCUAACCAUUCUUCAGGCCUGCAGAUCCCACCCCGAUAGAAGGAGACCUUUUACAAUAAUGUAUAAUAACAGCUAUCAUUAAGUACAGGAGCAGAUUAUGCUAGGCACCAUAUAUGCAUUGUCUCAUCGGACUCUUCACAAUAGCCCUAUUAACCUUACUCUGCAACCAAGGAAACUGGGGUGCAAUAACAUGCCCCAGGUUACAUAGCCAGUGGACUGUUAGCCAGGACUAGUAGCCAGGACUAUUAGACCGGGAUCAUUCCUUCAACCACUGUGAGGUAAGCUCUCUGGGCUUCAGCUACCCGUUAGCAGACUCGAGGCCACCCCAGGAGGACAAGGGCCACCCUUGUCUCUGGAGGUGUGCAAGCCGUGCCAGAUAAAAAUCCAGAGAGGGUGUGGGGCAUCAGAUGUCCAAAGCCACUCCCGGCCAGGUACGGCUGGGUAUAUCAUUUUCAAAACGCAGCACAAAAUGAAAAUGUGGGGCCUUGGCUCAAAAGUUAUUACGAGUUUCAAGGCAGCAACAGCAGAACAUUAAGCCAAGCAUGAGGCCCUUCUCAGUACAAGGUUCUGCGUGACUGUACAGGCCACGUGUCCUCUGGGUCUGGGGAAGACGUGGGUCAGAGGCCCCUGGGACCAUCACCAGUCCAGCUCUGCAGGAGCUCAGGGAAGAAGUCCCCCUCAGCACAUUGCUUCUCAUAAGACGGACCCUGCAUCCCAGCACCUCUUAUCUUCCUUCCCUAGCGGUGAUUUAUCUCCGUGUGAAGGGCUGGGGCAGCCUUGGAGGCACUCCCAUUGAUGGUUCAUGAAUCUUUCUUUUGCGGAUCCUCCGGCCACUCUCUGCAUGGCCCGGCAGACCCACCGCUUCCUUUCUGCCAAGUGAAGAUUAGAAAACCAUAAAACAAGGAACCCAAACCCCUGGCCGAGGGAGCACACACAUGGGCGUCAGAUGCGUUAGCUGGCUGGCAGGGGAUGGAUGGGGCUGUAGGUCCCCAGAGGGAGAGCCCUUUCCUUGGGGCCACCGUUUCCAGUCCCCUGUCCAAUGUGGAGGGGACUUCCUAGCCACACCUGGUGCCAGAUCUGUUCAGGGCUACCCCCAGAGGGAGAGAUCUCGGUUGAAGCCGGAGCUAGAGGUGGUCCCGGUGUGGGUCAGGGAGUGAGGAUGCUCAGGCUGAGCUGAGUGUGAGGGCCCUGGUCAAGUUCAGGUGGGAAGAACUGAGUACUUACUACGUGCUGGGCACUUAAUACAUAUUGUUCUCAUUUCUCAAAGGAUUGCUCCCAUCUGAACAGUGUAGACGAAGAACCUGGGGCUCAGAGAGGUGAGACCACUUGCUAGGGUCACACAGCCAGGAAGUGAUGGGUUUAGGAAUUGAAUCCAGGUGAAUGGAUAGCAAAGCUUUGUCCCAAAGAGAAGUUUUUAGGGGCACCUGGGCAGCUCAGUCUGUUGAGUGUCCAGCUCUUGAUUUUGUCUCAGGUCGUAAUCUCACAGUUCAAGCCUUGCAUCAGGCUCUCUGCUAUGAGCACAGAGCCUGCUUGGGAUUCUCUCCCUCCCUCUCUGAUCCUCCCCCACUCAUGGUCUCUCUGUCCCUCUCCUUCUCUCUCAAAAUAAAUGAAUAAGCAUUGAAAAAGAGAAAAUUCUAAAUCAUAAUAUUUGAAAAGCACAUUACUUAUUUCUUGAAUGUCAUCUAUUUUUAAAAAAUUCAUAGGUGUAAAAGGCAUGUGGAACAAAAUUCAGAAGUUUGAGUUUUCUUCUCUCUUCCCUUGUUUCGCUUUGCCUUCCUACUUUCAGUUCUUUUGAGUAUAUUUAUUCCCAGAAUGAAAUUGCUCGAUCAUGUAGUUUCACUUCAUUCUUUUGCAAGCAGAUAUCUAGUUUUCUUUCCACUAUUUGUUGAAGAGUGUCUUUUCCCCAUUGACUUGUCUUGGCAUUCUUGUCAAAAGUCAUUUGACCAUACACAUGAGGGUUUAUUUAUGGACCCUCUGUUCUACCUCAUUGGCUUUUGUGCCAGUACCACAUGGUUUUGAUUAAUUGAUUAAACUAAGUUUUGAAAUCAGGAAGUGUGAAUCCAACUUUGUUCUUUUUCAGGAUUGUUUUGGCUAUUUGCUGUCCCUUGAGAUACCAUAUGAAUUUUAGUUUGGGGGAUGAGUUUUUCUGUGUCUGAAAAAAAGUUGUUGGGAUGGCAGUAAGAAUGUAGAUUGUCUUGCGUGGUAUUGAUAUCUUAGAAAUAUUAGUUAUUCUUAUCCAUGAACAUGGGAUGUCUUUCCAUCUAUUUGUCAUCUUUAAUUUAUUUUCAGAAAUGUUUUGUAGUUUUUGUUGUACAAGUUUUUAACCUUCUUAGUUAAUUCCUAAAUAUUUUAUUCUUUUAUUAAUACUUUUGUAAAUGGAAUUGCUUUCUUAAUUUCCUUUUUA